Molecule: long non-coding RNA, 1800 nt
Filed under: Cinara cedri
Lineage: Eukaryota; Metazoa; Arthropoda; Insecta; Hemiptera; Aphididae
Source: RNAcentral
AAAUUGAUUAAGUGGAUAUUCUUAAUGCAACAAUUUGAUAAUAAUAACCAUUUUCGUCGUUUUCAUGAUAUUAUUACAGUUGCAUAAUAAUUGUAUAUUGUGUUAUUAAUAUAGGUAUGAAUUUAACGAAUUUUCGUAAAAGUUUUAAAUUUUAAAAUCGAAAUAUAACAUCUAUAAUACAUUGUGAUAAAAUCGGUUGGCAUAAAUCGUUCAAAACUAAUGUGAGCACUAUUACUCUUCGAUUGGGUCUACUAUUAAACACUAAAAUAAAAGGACAGUGACUUUUCUAUAAUUUUAUUUGAACAAAUUAUAUAUGUUAAAUUUAAAUUUAAAUCAUAUUUUCAAAUUAAUAAUACGUUUAAAAUUAAAUAAUUUUACCAUAAGUUGUAGCAAAAAGGUUAAGUAAUUGUGUAUGUGUAUGUUUUACAAAGCUCAAUAUAUUUUUCUUCUCGUUAAUUGUAUAGUAUAGGUCGGUACCCACUAAUCAGAAUUCAGCGACCGUUGAAUUGGCUCCUAAUAUAUUAGGUAAAUACUAAAUUCCCUGAUCGACCAAUGGAAUGGCUUCCAAGAAAUAUAUUAUUGAGUUGGCUCAACUUGGCCAGCCUGAUAACAUGAAAUGUUUUCCGAAUAGUGGUUCUCAAAAUAUAUUUCAAAUAAAAGUUUAAAAUAUACGUGACAUAAACAUUUUAUAUCUGGCGCAAAUUCGGAAAUAACCUAAUCACUAGGUAAAAUAUGAAUUGGACCCAGGGGAAAAGGGCUUAGGUUAAUUGUUGGAAUUUUUUUAUAAUUUAGUUUAAUGCCAUUUUUUUAAUGUCAUUUUUUUUACCUACAUUGCAUAAGUGUAUGUAUUUUCAAAAUUAGCAAACUAUUAAUUAUUGUAUUACUUAGUUUAUGUACUUAAGUAUAUUUAUAAUCAAAAUUUAAUUUUCCUGCAUUGAAAACUAUACAAAAAAUUAACUUAAACCCUUCUUUCCUGCGACCAAAGAUAUAUAAAGUGGAUUUAUGAUAUUUAUACUAUUCUGAUUGUUCCAUUUUUAUAUAUAAUUAAAUUAUCAUUUUAAAAAUUUAUUUACAGAGAUAAUGUUAUUUUAGUACCUAAUCAAUUUAUAUUUUAAACGAUAUAAGUGUUUAGGCCUUUAGGGAACUAAUUCCAAAGCCAAAUCUCGGGAGCCAAUUCAAUAUAGACAUAGUAUUUGUGAGUGCAAAAGAUACAGAACUAUGAUCCCUUUAAAAUCCACCUUGAUUUGUGAGCCAAUAUUAUUCAAUCGCACCAAACUUUAAAUUUUAAAAUUUUAAAAAGAAUGUCUACUGUAAUGAUUUAUGGCCGCGUAAACUAAUAAUUUAAUUAGUUACCUAUACAUUGUGCAUUGAGUUAAAUAUUCAGAUAUGUCGAAAGACCCGAGUUUGCUGAUAAAUAACUUAUUAUUAAUCACAUAUUUAACAACCAAUCGUAUAAAUCGAAAUUUAAAAUUGUAUCGUUUUUUUCUUGUUUGUAAAAUAUAUUACCGAAAUUGUGUAGUAUUAAAUUAUUACAAUAUAUACAUACAUAGGUAUAUAUAUUAUACGUAUUGAAUGUAAAACAUAUUAUAUUAUUAUAAGUAAAUAAACGUGUCGUCUUAUACCUUAUAUAUCCCUGUUUUUUUUUUUUUUUUUUUUUUUUUUUUUUUUUACAAUCUUUUUACAAACAAACAAAAACUUUUGAAUUUUAUUUAUUGAUUUAAAUUUCUUAUAAAAAAAAUUCGAAUUAUUACCUACAUACAAUUUUGCUCACAUAAUAUUUCUUUUUACGUUCGUGUGACC